RNAcentral lists this unclassified non-coding RNA (744 nucleotides) under Harpegnathos saltator (Jerdon's jumping ant). RNAcentral's name for it is "uncharacterized LOC109504479, transcript variant X1". Lineage: Eukaryota; Metazoa; Arthropoda; Insecta; Hymenoptera; Formicidae. The record is from RNAcentral.
ACGAUUUAUAGACGCGAAUCGAUCGUCGCCCGGAGCGGCGACGGCGACACGCGAAGUUCGUAAUAUAGUUCGCGACGCGAACUGGCGCGGGCGCGUCGCGAGACUCCAGCCGGCGAACGAACGAACGAACAGCUCGCGCAACGCGCCGCGCCGUUAGACGACCGUAACAAUUCUCGCGGAGUCGAGUGAUAUUAUUCUUCUUCUUUCUGUUCUAAAUAGCCUUCAUCACACACGGAGCGCUAAAAGUAAGGAAAAUCAACAACGAAGAGUCAGCUUCAAAUGAGCUGAACUAUCAAAUGCCCUAUCGAGGUCUUAUGCUUGAUGAGGAUGGCUCCAACAAUUUUUUGCUCGGGUUGCGCGCAUCCUCUUUCGAACAGACAGGAUUGCGCGACGGAGGCCGUGCGAAAGCGAGCGGCGAUGCCUUGCGAAUUGCAGCUCUAGCAUGGAAAUGCGUUCAUUAUUCACGAACGCCAGGAUGGAGGAAUCGAUGUGUAUGAACGAGGGCGAGCGACAAUCGAAGAUAUCGCAGCUGUUUAACCCUCAAUAAGCCUUAUUUGCUGAGGUAAUCCUUGGACGACGUGUACAUCGGCGAGCGAUAAGGCCAUUGAGAUCGUCGAGCAACGAGUGGUCGUGCAUGAGCAUUACGUCUGCAUAAGAAAUAAUCUUCCUACUGCACUCUACAUGUAUACGUAAAAAUUUUGUCAUUUAUAUAAAUGCUGCUUCCAGCAUGCUUCGUUAUUAUAU